AGGUUCGAUCCUGUAGCUCCAGAUUAGACGCUGGCGGGAUGCUUUACACAUGCAAGUCGAACGGCGGCACGGACUUCGGUCUGGUGGCGAGUGGCGAACGGGUGAGUAAUGUAUCGGAACGUGCCUAGUAGCGGGGAUAACUUCCGCGAAAGCGUAGCUAAUACCGCAUACGCCCUUCGGGGAAAGCGGGGGUUGCCGGGCCUCGCACUAUUAGAGCAGCCGAUAUCGGAUUAGCUAGUUGGUGGGGUAACGGCUCGCAAGGCGACGAUCCGUAGCUGGUUUGGAGACGACCAGCCACACUGGGACUGAAGUACGGCCCAGACUCCUACAGGAGGCAGCAGUGGGGAAUUUUGGACAAUGGAAACCUGAUCCAGCCAUCCCGCGUGUGCGAUGAAGGCCUUCGGGUUGUAAAGCACUUUUGGCAGAAAGAAACGGCCUGGGAUAAUACCCCGUGCAACUGACGGUACCUGCAGAGUAAGCACCGGCUAACUACGUGCCAGCAGCCGCGGUAAUACGUAGGGUGCAAGCGUUAAUCGGAAUUACUGGGCGUAAAGCGUGCGCAGGCGGUUCGGAAGAAAGAUGUGAAAUCCCAGAGCUUAACUUUGGAACUGCAUUUUUUUAACUACCGAGCUAGAGAGUGUGUGGAAGAGGAGGUGAAUUAUGCAAUGUGGUGAAAUGCGUAGAUGCGGAGGAACACCGAUGGCGAAGGCAGCCUCCUGGGAUAACACUGACGCUCAUGCGAAAGCGUGGGGAGCAAACAGGAUUAUACCCUGGUAGUCCACGCCCUAAACGAUGUCAACUAACUGUUGUUGGGGCCUUCGGGCCUUGGUAGCGCUAACGCGUGAAGUUGACCGCCUGGGAAAAUUACGGUCGCAAGAUUCUAAAACUCAAAGGAAUUGAUAGCGAGGACCCGCUGCAAGCGGUGGAUGAUGUGGAUUAAUUCGAUGCAACGCGAAAAACCUUACCUACCCCUUGACAUGUCUGGAAUCCCGAAGAGAUUUGGGAGUGCUCGCAAAAGAGAACCGGAACACAGGUGCUGCAUGGCUGUCGUCAGCUCACGUGUCGUGAGAUGUUGGGUUAAGUCCCACAACGAGCGCAACCCUUGUCAUUAGUUGCUACGAAGGGCACUCUAAUGAGACUGCCGGUGACAAACCGGAGGAAGGUGGGGAUGACGUCAAGUCCUCAUGGCCCUUAUGGGUAGGGCUUCACACGUCAUACAAUGGUCGGGACAGAGGGUCGCCAACCCGCGAAGGAGCGCCAAUCCCAGAAACCCGAUCGUAGUCGGAUCGCAGUCUGCAACUCGACUGCGUGAAGUCAGAAUCGCUAGUAAUCGCGGAUCAGCAUGUCGCGGUGAAUACGUUCCCGGGUCUUGUACACACCGCCCGUCACACCAUGUGGUGGGUUUUACAGAAGUAGUUAGCCUAACCGUAAGGAGGCGAUUACCACGUCGGAUUCGCGGCUAGGGUGAAGUCGUAACAAGGUAG
RNAcentral lists this ribosomal RNA (1484 nucleotides) under uncultured Bordetella sp. Its description in RNAcentral is "partial 16S-23S ribosomal RNA intergenic spacer". It matches the Rfam family "Bacterial small subunit ribosomal RNA". Lineage: Bacteria; Pseudomonadati; Pseudomonadota; Betaproteobacteria; Burkholderiales; Alcaligenaceae. The record is from RNAcentral.